This 1027-nucleotide long non-coding RNA is filed under the name Hordeum vulgare. RNAcentral describes it as "long non-coding RNA (HVUL_LNC014100)". The record is from RNAcentral. Lineage: Eukaryota; Viridiplantae; Streptophyta; Magnoliopsida; Poales; Poaceae.
ACAUUGAUAUUAUUGCAGUCCGCCUUCAAGAAAAAGGUCUCGUCAAGAAUUGAGUCUUAGAUUUGACGACCCCCCAGCUCUUCUGAAAUAAAUUUACGAUAUCUGCGCUUCUGGUAUGAUUCUCUUGAGUGUCUACGUCAAAGAUCGCGCGCGUUUUUUUAAGAGGGACAUAAUUCCGGAUAUCGCCGCUGAAAGUGCAGUACAAUACGUUGACGACUUCAGUGAUGAAGGGCGUGCUUUGGGCGAUAGUUUUCUUGAUAAAUUCAUUAAUGCUGAAAAAAAUGGACAGACAUGGGCAGGAAAAUUGAGAGCACGUGAUUUUGCAGUGUUUGAUGAAAGAUUAGUGUCGCUCAAACCACUAAAAUCAAAUGCAAGCCAAGAAGAAUUGCGAAUGGAUAAAGCAGCGUUAGUACAUUAUCUUUGACAAAUUUUCUGCAGCUCUAAUAGAUCAUUACCGUACAUUGUGGAAUUCCUUAAAUUUCUGAAAAAGGAUGAAAAUCGUAUGUGUCCAAAGUUGCUGCUGUAUAAGAGACGGUCGUUGAUAUUCAUGACACCUUUGGAAAGAGGUGAACCUGCAUACUUAUUUGUUGUGUCCUAUUAUCAGUAAUUUAAAUUAUUUCAAUUUCGAAUUCUAACUAGAUCUUUGCAUAGUUUUCUGCUGUAGUUGCCUGAAGGUUCUUUACUCACUUUCUUUGUACCCUAUGUUGCUUAUCCUGAUAGUGUUUGCAGCUAUUUCAGAAGAGCUGGGGGGUCGUCAAAUCUAAGACUCAAUUCUUGACGAGACCUUUUUCUUGAAGGCGGACUGCAAUAAUAUCAAUGUUCAGAUGUAAGGAAAUAAAAAGAACAGACAGACAAAAAGAUAAGUUGAUCAAUUGCACACCAAGGAAUUACAACAACUACAGUACCUAUCAGCCCCUCCGAGGAGUCGUAACAUUAACUGGACAGUUGCAUUAUAAGACAGUUUGUAGUCUUUGAGAGUAACAUUAUCUUGAAGAUAUUGUCCUCCUGCACGCAGUGUAAAUAGAUC